CUUUACAAUGGGUGGACGAACAAACAUGUAGUUGUAACCAGACAAGUUGGACACACAGGAACAGAGGGGUUGAGGGCCCUGCUCAAUGAGCUUACAUGCUAGAAGGAGUGGGGUAAAAUGACACAAAAAGGUAAGGAUAGUAUUAGACUAGUGACAGUUGCAGAAGAGGAAUCGGUCAGGAGCUAUUAACAGUUUAAUGUGUAAUUUGGGGUAACUGUAGAGGAGACAGGACCAUAGACGAUCAUUGUGGAGGCAGAGAGACCAACAAUCAUCAUGAAACUAGGGAAUCCAUGAGUCUUCAGGAUCAGCCCAUUCCCCAGGAUGACUUAGGCAAUGGUACUCAGUAUUGCUAUAAUAGAGGUUGAUUUAAUACUUUCACAAACUGGUACUGCUUAUUUGGAUGUCAUUUGUCAAUGGAGUACUGCAUGAUAAAAUUCGACAAAUAUGCUUUAUUGUGUAUUAAUAUAAAAUGAUUGCAUUUGAAAUUAAAGCAACGUUUC
Molecule: non-coding RNA, 500 nt
Organism: Pelobates cultripes (western spadefoot toad)
Lineage: Eukaryota; Metazoa; Chordata; Amphibia; Anura; Pelobatidae
Source: the annotation of a GenBank genome assembly